This 802-nucleotide ribosomal RNA is filed under the name uncultured bacterium. RNAcentral describes it as "bacterial SSU rRNA". It matches the Rfam family "Bacterial small subunit ribosomal RNA", at positions 8 to 803 of the family's 1533-position model. The record is from RNAcentral.
AGAGUUUGAUCCUGGCUCAGAUUGAACGCUUGUGGCAUGCCUUACACAUGCAAGUCGAACGGCAGCACGGAGCUUGCUCUGGUGGCGAGUGGCGAACGGGUGAUUAAUAUAUCGGAACGUACCCUUGGGUGGGGGAUAACGUAGCGAAAGUUACGCUAAUACCGCAUACGAUCUACGGAUGAAAGUGGGGGAUCCGCAAGGACCUCAUGCUCAUGGAGCGGCCGAUAUCUGAUUAGCUAGUUGGUAGGGUAAAAGCCUACCAAGGCAUCGAUCAGUAGCUGGUCUGAGAGGACGACCAGCCACACUGGAACUGAGACACGGUCCAGACUCCUACGGGAGGCAGCAGUGGGGAAUUUUGGACAAUGGGCGAAAGCCUGAUCCAGCAAUGCCGCGUGAGUGAAGAAGGCCUUCGGGUUGUAAAGCUCUUUUGUCAGGGAAGAAACGGUGGUUUCUAAUACAGAUCACUAAUGACGGUACCUGAAGAAUAAGCACCGGCUAACUACGUGCCAGCAGCCGCGGUAAUACGUAGGGUGCAAGCGUUAAUCGGAAUUACUGGGCGUAAAGUGUGCGCAGGCGGUUAUGUAAGACAGAUGUGAAAUGCCCGGGCUUAACCUGGGAACUGCAUUUGUGACUGCAUGGCUAGAGUUUGGCAGAGGGGGGUAGAAUUCCACGUGUAGCAGUGAAAUGCGUAGAUAUGUGGAGGAACACCGAUGGCGAAGGCAGCCCCCUGGGUCAAGACUGACGCUCAUGCACGAAAGCGUGGGGAGCAAAAAGGAUUAGAUACCCUGGUAGUCCACGCCGU